Long non-coding RNA from Alligator mississippiensis (American alligator), 6596 nucleotides. RefSeq lists it as uncharacterized. The record is from RefSeq and is a predicted model, not a curated record. The transcript is spliced from 2 exons. Lineage: Eukaryota; Metazoa; Chordata; Crocodylia; Alligatoridae.
ACGCCGCCGCGACCGUUGCGGCCGUUGGGCUCCUCAGGCGGUGUCAGGCCUGGUGGCGCGGCGCAGCGAAGUGGAGGGGCCCGCGGGCUGGAUAGACUGGGCUGGCGGGCCGCAUCCGGCCCCCGGGAUCGCGUUUUGCCCACCCUGCAUUAAGGCGAGAGUUAAUCGUCGUGUUUAAGCAAGAAGUUCGCAGAUGUUCUGUUCUCCUUCAUUACGAGGAGCUCUUCUCAAAAAGAAACGAGCGCUCACUGUCUGUACUCGAGGCUGUCCAACGCCGUUAUAAGAUCCUGUUUUUAACUCGGCGCGUUGUAACCGUUCGAGCUGACGUGCGUCAUGCUGGGCGUCCGUUACAGGCUAAAAAUGGGUUUUGAUAAGUGUCAGUGCAAACGGUUCAGUCAGGUUAAGGAGGGGGGAAAUCGGUCCACACUGAAAAAUUCGUACGGCUGUUCUUGCGAAGCUUCAAUGCUUUGGUGAUUGGAGGCCAUGCAAGAGACGUGACAUGGAGGGUGCCUUUGGUUACCUUUGCUUUUCCCCUGAGUAAACUCUCAAAUUUGGUCUAGGUAUAAGCCUGUGAAAACGUGUUUCCAGGUGCGCAGGGGAAACUCGUUUGGCUUCCGAAUUCUUCAGCAUCUACCAUUGGGCGGAUCGGAGCCAGAUGAAAUUCAACACCGAGAAGUGUAAAGUGCUGGAUCCACCUGGGGACGAACAGCCCCCCAACACACCGGCAGGCUCGGUGACGCCAAACGACUGAAAGGGAGCUGGGGGUAAUAACAGACCAUAGUACGAACAUGAGCCGUCAGCGCGAUGCUGUAGCCAGUAGGGCAGAUAAUACUCUGGCGUGCAUCGAUCUAUGCAUCUCCAGCAAAACCGAGGAAGUGAUUUUUCCGCUUUCCGCGGCAUUGGCGAGACCGCAGCUGGAGUACUGCGUCCAGUUCUGGGUGCCGCACUUCAACGAGGAUGUGGAAAAGCUUGAGAGAGAGACUCCAGAGACGAGCCAGCCAUACAAUCAGAGGCUUGCAAGGCAAGCCACAUGAGGAAAGGCUGAGGGACUUGGGCCUCUUCAGCCUAUAAAAGAGAAGGCUAAGAGGGGACCUUGUAGCAGCUUACUGCUACAUCAGGGGAGUACGUUGAGGGCUCGGCAAGCAACUGUUCACCAGGGCACCCUUGGGGAGAACCAGGAGUAAUGGCCACAAACUCCUGGAAGACUGUUUCAGGCUUAACACUAGGAAAAACUUCUUCACAGUUAGGGUAUCCAGACAGUGGAAUAAACUCCCUCCAGAGGUGGUGCAAUCACCUACCCUGGAAAUCUUCAAGAGGAACCUGCACAGUCACCUUGCUGGGGUCACCUGACCCCCAGUUAUCUUUCUUACCUAGUACAGGGGGCUGGACCUGAUGAUCUUGCAAGGUCCCUUCCAGCCCUUAACAAUCCAUGAAUUGGUGAGCAGGCUCCAGCCCUUCACAGCUCCUGUAUACGAACUGGAUUGCAUGAGCACCAUCCAGCAAGAGUGUGGGAGCAUGCUCUGGCUGAGGCUGCAUGGUCUGCAGUCUCCUGCAGAUGACUCGUUGGUGCCCAGUCAGCGUGGAGGGAGAGGAGGAGCAGCUUGACUGGAAUGCAGAGUAAUGAGUGGGGUGGGGAAGGAAAGGGGGAAUAAGCAGGAGCAGAGAAGAUAAGGACCCUGGAAAGGCUUGUGGGAAACUGGAGGGUGGGGGUGAGCACAAGAUCAUUUGUAACCACUGUAGUGUAUUUUUGUGCACAAACUGGAUUGGACCCCCAGAGUCCUUUGCAGUUAAGUAGAUGGCUGUGAAACCCACUGGCUGAAUGUAUGUUUCAUCACCCUCUAGUGGCAGGUCCACAUAGAGCAGAGGUGGGCAAAAUGCAGCCUGCCAGCCAGACCUGACCCACCAUCCAGUCCAUGGCUACCCAGCAAUUGUACCCCACCCAGCCCACAUGGUUCACCCCCAUUCUCAUGCCUAGGAGGGCCCUGGCCCUGGCCAGCUCGCACAACUUCUAGGCAGGGCCAGUGCUGCAGCCACCGGGGGACCUGCUUGGCUUCCCCGGCCUCCAGCAACUUCUCGUAUCCCUGCUGCAGCACUUGCACCACGGAACAGGUAGGGAAGCAGCAGUGGGCAGAGGAAAGCUGCAGCUCAGUGGGAGCAUGGGGCUGGAGCUGGCAGGAGUGUGGAGCCUGCACCCAGCAGGCAGCAGGAACUUGGGUGGAUAGGGUAUGGGUGAGGGUGGGAGGGCGUGGGGACCUCUCCAGGUGCCCCCUUCCCAUGCCUGCCCCCACUGCUAGCAGUAUUAGGUGGCAAGCCCUCGGGGUGCUCAUUGUCAAGGGGUGAGGCUACUCUUGCAGCCCUUGACAGCUUGCUAGAACUCAUUAAGCGGCCCUCCAGCUGAAAUAAUUGCCUACCCCUGACCUAGAGGAUAACAGCCUUCUGUUGCUUCUGGUUACUUUGUUAGCACAACUGGCAGAUACCCGAGUUAUGGAACUAGUCCCAACCCUGCUAAUGAUCCAAGUUAAGGCCUUGUCAAUAUGAUUCUGCAUGAUUAAAACUUUCAUUUUGCUCAUUUGCAAAUGCUGUGAAUUGCAUCAAAUUAUUAAAAACAAACAAACAAAAGUGUGUUCCAUUGAUUUUUGUGAAGUCAAGUCUCAAGACUUACUGCCAGAAUUCAGAUUACUUAUUUAGGGUUCAGUUGUGUAUAGGCUUGGUGGGAUUUGAUUUUUAAUGAUAAACCUUGAUAAAAGUUGAUUUCACUUCUUGCACGCUGAUGAAAGAAUAUUUCCAUUGUUAAUAAUCAAAAUUUAUAGAAGGGGGACAUAAGGAAAAUGCUGGCUGAUGGUGUGUGAGACAACAGGGUGAGCAGUCCUACAACACUUCUGACUCAUUUGGACUGUAACUCCCAGAAACCCCAGGGGACUGGGAGCAAAGGAAGAGGAAGUGACAAAGCAGACAAGGGAGCUACAGGCAAGCCAAGCCAGGACUGAUGGUAGCUCUGUUAUUCAGCAGAGAACAGUCCUACAGUAAUGUUUGUUGUGGUGGGCAGGUAAAUCGCACUAUAAUAAUAGUAUACUGCCAUUAAUAAAUUGUCUGUUCCCCACAUCCCUAAUUUCUCAUGGUCCUGAAAAUUUAAAUAGAUAAAAAUUGAAGCAAAUGCUUGAAAAUAAACAUUGAUGCUAUCCAUCAAAAUCAUAAAAAAAUUCUGCCAAGCCUAGUUGUAUAUUACAUUUUUGUAGUACUCCUACUUCUUAGUGCACAGGAUGGAGCUUGCUUUGAGAGUGAUUCAUGGUUGAAUUAGGCCAUUGUCUGUAGGAGCAUUUAAUUGCUGAUGCUUUCUAGUACAUCUGAUACUACAGCAUCAAAGCAAUUAGUCUAGGGCUUGUCUAUACUACGAAGCUCCUGUUGCUUUAGUUACGCUGGGAUAGCUAUGUCAGCAGCAUGCCCCCUCCCCCCAGUGUAGAUGUAGCAUACACCAACAAAAGGAGGUUUUCUGCUGGUGUAGUUAACCUCCUUCACAAUACAAGCUAGCCAUCAAAUAACACUCUUCUACUGGCAGAGCUACAUCCAUACCAGAGGUUUUGCAGCUGUGUCAGCUAAGAGGUUUGAUUUUUUUUUUUUUUUUCUUUCUUCUUCUUCUUUGUACCAAUAGGCUACAUAGCUCUACUGACAAAUUUGUAGUGUGGGCCUGACCCUAAAAGCACUCAUUCUUCCCCACUAUAAAGCCACACAUGAGGAUCAGCAAGAAACUGGUUUCGAAUUGCAUUAAAUAUACUGGAGUAUUUCUGCGUUGUGUUUUCUGGCUACUAAUUAUCACCCCAGUCCCCUGCUAGAUUUUUUUUUUUUUUUUCCCUCAGGGUUCACUGUCCAGCUCUUCCUAACUCUUCAAAGAGGCAACCAUUUUGAUAGGCUGAAAUCAAGACAAUAAUAUGGAAGCAAAGCUCAGAGCACUAAGAAAGGAGAGCGGGACUGGUUCUUGGCGAGAGUUGGUACAUAUGUGAGCUCAGUGGGAGAACAGUAGUCAUUAAGCUUUUGCAUUUGGUGGACUUCAGCUUAUAGUUUCACAUUUUGGAGAUAAAAUUGCUGCUUGUUUAUUAAAUCAGGAAUGAUAUUUGAAUGUGCAGUCUUGGCUUUCCAUUUUCCAAAGUUUCACAGUUUUAAUAUCAAAUAAAAGCUCCAACUAAAUAUGUUGAAUGGCUCCAUAAAUGUUUGUGUACUGGCGAACUGUGGCCACACCUAUCAAACCUCUUUGGCAUGUUUGUUUUUUGGUGUUUCUAUGCAGUACUGGCUUCUUGAACCCUUAGAAAAUAGUGAAGACCAAAUUAAGGCCUAAAGUAAGCAAGCACACUCCUACUAAAGUCACUGCAAGUUAAAUUUGCACAUGCCAGGGCUUAGCUUGACUGUGUGUGUAGGCCCCAUAUGUCCACCGACCUGAUGCUUUGUGGCCUUGUUUGUAUAUUCUGUUGGCUUUCCAUUGAUAUUAAGUGUGUUAAUAAGACUGUAUUUCAGUUAAGUAUUUUUAAGUGAUUCUAAUAUAUUAUGUUGACUCUGAUAGUAAUCUAAGAUGGAUAUUCAGCCCCAGUACUGCAGAAGUACUUUAGGCACAAACUCUUGAACAGCACCUUUACUUCAUAGGGGAGAUGCUGUUAAGAGUAAAAAGCCUUGGGCAGCACUAAGCGAAGAAGGAACUGAGACUGAUGCUCAGGCUGGGAAGCAAAUUGUACAGUAAGGAAAUAGGUUUAUGAACCAUGCUAUUUGCACCUGCAGUUUAGCAAAUGGGUAUUUUAUCUUUAAUAACACCUUUUGCAGCCCCAUUUGGCUAAAUAUAACCCUAGAGUGUGGAAAAACUGAAAUAUUUGUUAAGAUUCAUAUUAAGCAUUGAAUCAUUUGGAUAACUUUGUAUAGCUUUGCAUUCACCCAGCUACUGCUUUUAUUUGGCAGCUCAAAAUCACUUAAAGUUUGGUUAGAUUGUCAUUACAGAAUCUUGCCAUAUGUUGCUAAAGACCUGGAAUUUGCACAGUGCUGUUAACAGUCACAGAGGUUUUAUCACUUUAUUUUUUUUAAAUAUAACAUACAGAGUAAUGGAUGGGGGCACUUUUAAAAACCCAAAUAAAGUUUUGUUGCUUUAUCACUUUCUUAGUUAAGUACCCUCAGGCAAGACACCUAACCAAUCUUAGCUGCAUUCUUCUAACCUUUUAAAAUGCUUCAACACAGAGUGCUUAUAUAAGUGCUAAAUAUUACUAAGUUUGUCUGGCCGUGAUAAUUUUCCAAAUAGAAUGUGGAAUGAAAAGACUUUUAACAUCACAAGGGGGGAGUUUUAACAACAUGCCAUGGUACCUGUUCAGAGACGUCUUUUCUAUCUCUCGUCUUUGUGUCCAUAUUUGCACUCUUUUUUGAUCCGCUAUAAUGCUAAUCUCUAUUCACUCUCUCAUUCAGUGCUUUCCUUUAAUAAUAGGAAAAAUACUAGCAACCUGAUCCCAUCUGUCUCUACCGUAUAACAUUUUCCCCUUAGGUGACUCAGGAUGUAUGAUCUUGAUGUAUUUCAUAUAACGGAUGUAUGAUCUUGAUGUAUUUCAUAUAACGGCUAGGAAGUUCCAGUGUGCAAAAGGACCAAGAUGACAAACUUCUUAUCAAUGGGUAAAUUCCUUCUACUGGAGGAUUUACUUGGGGACGGUAAAAAGCAUGUAUUUUUUCUUAAUGAGAGAGCCACCACAAUUCUAUUUAACAUCCUGUCUCCAGAGUAAUUCUCCAUUGUGAAAGCUUCCCAGCCCUUAAUGUCAUUGGCUUCUUCAAAUUGUUAAAGCUUUUUUUUCUAAACCAAAAACAUUUGGGGAUUUAAACACGUUGAAAUAUCUCAGGCUGCGUUCCUGUUACAUCUGAAACUAAGCAGGACUGGGCCAGGCUGGUACUUGAAUGAGAGCUCUCCAAGGAAACCUUUAUGCUGGGGAAAUGAUGUUGGUGAUUUAGGGGGUGAUGCUUUUCCUCUCGCUGACCACUGAAAUCCUGGAAUGCUAUGCUGCAAGAGACCCUGUCUUUGAGGAAAUGUGCGUGCGUUAAACCAGGUGUACUCCGCUAGUUCUCACUUGGGGUCUGAUCUGAUUCCCAGCAAAGUCAAAGAAGCUUCUCUCUGCUUAAAUUUCUCCCUGCUGUUUCAUUGCUUUUUACAGUUCUCAACUGUCUUGCCGUUUUCUAUAGGUUGCCACUGGUCAUCCAAGCUGCAGUUGUUUUGGUGGUAAACUAGAAUGGUAUGUACAUAUGUAAUGCCCUGUCUUCACCCUUUGGGCAAGCUAUCCUUGUAAUUAGAGGACAUGAUGGAUUUCUGAAUAUUGGAUCCAUACAUUGUCACAGAGGAUUUUCUGUGAAUUUAUCAUCGCUUACAUUAGUAUGACACUAUGUGGGGCAUCUAUGAUGAAUUAUGUUUUGACUACUGUUUGUAAAUUGAUAACUCAAUUUUUUUUAAUAGUAAUCGAAACCGGUUUAUGCACUGAUCUGUUAUGUUGGAUAAGACUUACUCUUUUGUACUAAAUUAUCCAGAAGUUCCUUUUAUGUCUUUUGCAGUGAGUUCUAUGGCAGUUCAAUAAAUUAUGCAUAAAAAUGUC